GUAGAGGACAAUUUCGAAGUCAAAAGGCAUGAAGGGAAGUCCCUUUGGGGUCCCAGCCCCGGCACCCUGGCCGUUGGCCCCUGGACAGCUGUUCACUCCCUUCUCAGGCUUGUUGGGGACACACACGUCAUGCCCUGAAGCGUUCCGGAACCGGUAGGGGCUGCCUGUCCUGCCACUCACCCACUCCAGCUAGGAACUCCUCAGUGGGCAAGAUAAUUGGGCCCAGGUUGAGUUAUGACGUUCACAGGUGAUUUUGAUGGACGCUGACUUUCAGAGCUCAUUGCCCUAAAGACUCCUGGCCUAAGAGUGAGGAAGUCUGAGGAAUCUGGUUUCAGCUCCACUGAUAUCUAACCGCACGUACACCAGGUCCUGCAGAUGACAACCUCUGGUGGAACGGAGUGAUGCUGGAUUCAGUACUCAACACACAAGUGUCAGCUCCUGGGAAGGGCAAAAGCAGCUUCACAGCGACACCAGGGAUGGCAGAGAUGUUCUUCCUCAGCGUUCCCAUGGAGAACACUAGUGUCCUGAGAGAGAAUGCACCUGCUUUGGUGAACACUGACUGUCUCAGCUGUGGCAUGACGACAAGGUCUUUCUACAGGCAAAAGUCAAGCCUGCCUGACAUGCAAAGCACCUUGACCUCUGACCCCAGAGCUCCCCAGGGCCACAUGCCUGCCCAGAGCCAAGGACCAUCUUAUGACUCUGGUAAAAGACUGGGAAAGGCAGGGAAGGUGCCAGGGGCUGGGGAAGUUGGGUCCCUUCUCUCCUCUCCCCCAGGUGACUCUCAGUCCCACCCUAAGUGAUACUAGGGGCUGGGGAAGUUGGGCCCCUUCUCUCCUCUCCCCCAGGUGACUCUCAGUCCCACCCUAAGUGAUACUAUGGGCUGUCACCCUGGGGGCGGGUGGAGCAGCCCUGAGAGCUCCCUGCCCAAUGUCCCUUCAGCCUUAAGUCUUCCUGAUGGCUAAUGCCAGAUGCCACCCCAUUGAUCCUUGCCAGGCCACAGCGUCUCCAUGCCACCAUUCUGUAAACCCAUCUUUCCACCCAUGUGAGAAGUGCCACGUCCUGGUCCCCCAGUCCCGGGCAGCUGCGUGGGCCCUGGGGUUCCCAUGGUGUGGUGCUCCUGCCAGGAGCAGGGGAAAGAUCUUACAGGGGAAUCUAGAAAAGCCCAUUCUGAAUCUGACUACACUUUCAGGCUUGGAGGAAAUGCCAACUGACUCCAGCAGCACAACCUGGAGAACGCGGCUCAGAGAAGACUUGAGAACGUGGCUCAGAGAAGACUUGCAGUGGGUGGGCCCGGCCUCUUCCAGGUGGGGGACUCCCAGGUGAGGCCACUGCUCUGCCCUGGGCCAUCACACUUUGAGAAGGGGACUGGGUGUAGGUAAUGCCCACACUUGGCCAUGAUUCUGCUUCCACAGAGGUCCCAGCUAAAUAGUCUUAAUUAACAAUGUGAUGUUACCUUUAAGGGAUGAAGGUUUAGUGAUUGAGAGAAAUGAGGAAUUCAGGAAUGUGCUUAGCACUGAGCGGUUUCUUAACACAUAUGGUUGGCAAAUCAAGGCACAACUUAAAACCACUCAAUUAAGGUAAUAAAUUAAGCAGUGAAACUAAUUUCUAAAUAUCCCAAAUUUGACACACAUUAUUCCAAAGAUCUCAGACCUCCUCCUGCCAUGGCCUUCCUUUCCUUUGAGCUGCUCAAGCCAUGUAAGUUGCCUCCCCUCUUUCUGUGAUAUCUUCUACCCAUUGGCAACAAAUCCUCUCCAAAGUGUGCAGCAUCUAGCCAUGUCUGAGCUACUGUCAAGGCUCAGCUGUGUGGCCACCACAUGACCUCCUGACCCAUCUUCCUGGUGUUGCCUUGGCCACCCCUACACAUAUGUGUUGAAUGAAAGACUAUUUGAUGAAUUUCUCCCAGUUUUCAUUGGAUCAUGGGUUCACAGUGGGUUUUGUGAAAACCACAUAUCAAUCCCACGCAUGUAAAAUGGGACAGAAUUAUUUCUAAAAAGUGCACAGUUUGGACAGACCACAGAUCGGACAGACCAUAGCUGCUCUGACAUACAGAGCAGAUGAACUCAAUUCUAGUCCUAAAAAUGCAGCAGGGAGCAGCAUUCCGGGGCCCACAUGGGCUGCCUUCCUCCAUCCCACCAAGGCCCUGGCAGGGUGGGAUGGACUCCCUUUGUGGACCAGGCGGAGGCUGCAGGUUCGGGAUUUAAACCUGAACUUAGUGGAGCCCUUUGAGGAUGCCAUUUUGUUAGCCUGAUGGGCAAAGCAGAUGAUGGGAGGGGCCCAGGUGAAGGAUCCCCAACUGCACGCCCCGCCCCCCUGCUGCUGGGCCAGAUCUUUUUUUUUUUUUGAGAUGGAGUUUCGCUCUUGUUCCCCAGGCUGGAGUGCAAUGGCGCGAUCUCGGCUCAUGGCAACCUCUGUCUCCCAGGUUCAAGAGAUUCUCCUGCCUCAGUCUCCCACGUAGCUGGAAUUACAGGCGUCCACCACCAUGCCCGGCUAAUAUUUUGUAUUUUUAGUAGAGACGGGGUUUCACCAUCUUGGCCAGGCUGGUCUUGAACUCCUGACUUCAGGUGAUCCACCUGCCUCGGCCUCCCAGAGUGCUGGGAUUACAGACAUGAGCCACAGCACCCGGCCCGGGCCAGCUCUUACAAAGGCGGUUCAGAACCUACAGGGUUUGUCUUGGCACCAAGACAGGCUGUGAAAGCUGCCCCCAGGUCACGACCCAUCCAGCUGGAGCAGGUCACCGAGACGCACCCCCGCACACAUCCGUCUGCUCUCUGGCCCUGCCACCUCCUGGCACCCACGCUCCCCAGCCCAUGCCCACUUGUACUGCUGGGGUUAAAUCAGGUCGAUUCAGAGCCUUCCUACAAAGCUGCUGCCCACCUACAAAUUUCGUAUUCUAUUAUUUUUGUCAUUGGUCCAGGACCCCAGACAACUCUAGGGAUUUGCAGCUUGUGGUCACAAGCACUGAGUCUGAGGGAAGGGAGCUGCCCAGGGCCACUGGCAGGCCUAGACUGGGUGCCAGGCCUGAGUUCCACAGGAGGGGCCCUGCCAGCUGGCACCCAUGGCCACGAAGCAGCACCCUUACCCGCUGGGCCCCAGGCAGCCCAGGUCCCAACAGUAAGCAUAGGCUUGGCAGCCAGACCCACGAGCAACCAAGGUACCCAGGGCCUGUGCAGGGAGAUGGGCACCUAAAGAGGAACGUUCUGGAGUCCUAGGUGCAAAUGCUGAGCAGUUAGACUGAUUUGGGGCCUCUGAGCACCAGGAAUGGCCUGCAGUCACGGGGAGCUGCAAGGCAAAGCUGAGUUUAGUGCAAACACCAUUGAUCAUGCAAAACAUAAAAUAAAAUCUUACUGGGAAGGAUGUUGGGA
This 3362-nucleotide long non-coding RNA is filed under the name Homo sapiens (human). Its description in RNAcentral is "HSALNT0360623". Lineage: Eukaryota; Metazoa; Chordata; Mammalia; Primates; Hominidae. The record is from RNAcentral.